RNAcentral lists this ribosomal RNA (497 nucleotides) under uncultured bacterium. RNAcentral describes it as "partial 16S ribosomal RNA". It matches the Rfam family "Bacterial small subunit ribosomal RNA", at positions 28 to 507 of the family's 1533-position model. The record is from RNAcentral.
GAUGAACGCUGGCGGCGUGCCUAAUACAUGCAAGUCGAGCGAACAGACGAGGAGCUUGCUCCCCUGACGUUAGCGGCGGACGGGUGAGUAACACGUGGAUAACCUACCUAUAAGACUGGGAUAAUUUCGGGAAACCGGAGCUAAUACCGGAUAAUAUAUUGAACCGCAUGGUUCAAUAGUGAAAGUCGGUUUUGCUGCCACUUAUAGAUGGAUCCGCCCCGCAUUAGCUAGUUGGUAAGGUAACGGCUUACCAAGGCAACGAUGCGUAGCCGACCUGAGAGGGUUAUCGGCCACACUGGAACUGAGACACGUCACAGACUCCUACGUGAGGAAGCAGUGGGUAUUCUGUCACAAUGCAGGAGAGCCUAACAGUGCAACGUCGCGUGAGUAGUGAUGGUCUUCGGAUCGUGAAGCACUGUUAUUGGGUAGGAACAAAUGUGUGAGUCACUCUGCUCGUCUUGACGGUACCUAAUCCGAAAGCCCCGGCUAACUACUUG